AACGCGAAGAACCUUACCUGGGCUUGAACCGCACAGGACCAGCUUGAGAUAUCAGUUCCCUUGUGGUCUGUGUGCAGGUGGUGCAUGGCUGUCGUCAGCUCGUGUCGUGAGAUGUUGGGUUAAGUCCCGCAACGAGCGCAACCCUUGUCUCAUGUUGCCAGCGGGUAAUGCCGGGGACUCGUGAGAGACUGCCGGGGUCAACUCGGAGGAAGGUGGGGAUGACGUCAAGUCAUCAUGCCCCUUAUGUCCAGGGCUUCACACAUGCUACAAUGGCCGGUACAAAGGGCUGCGAUGCCGUGAGGUUAAGCGAAUCCUUUAAAGCCGGUCUCAGUUCGGAUCGGGGUCUGCAACUCGACCCCGUGAAGUCGGAGUCGCUAGUAAUCGCAGAUCAGCAACGCUGCGGUGAAUACGUUCCCGGGCCUUGUACACACCGUAGAGAC
This 440-nucleotide ribosomal RNA is filed under the name uncultured bacterium. RNAcentral describes it as "bacterial SSU rRNA". It matches the Rfam family "Bacterial small subunit ribosomal RNA", at positions 958 to 1400 of the family's 1533-position model. The record is from RNAcentral.